AACUUAAGGAUUAUGAACCCGGAGGCAUGACCUGUGAAUGUCAUGGGGAUUAAGCAAAAUAUCAUGACAUAUGAAUCCCACACUAAGGAUCAAUAAAGCUACAAGAACUAGAGAGCGGUAGCUGAGAGUGGCGCUAAUGCCUUAAAUUUUGAUCACAUUUCUCAAGUUAGGCUAAGAG
Molecule: non-coding RNA, 178 nt
Organism: Ceratotherium simum simum (southern white rhinoceros)
Lineage: Eukaryota; Metazoa; Chordata; Mammalia; Perissodactyla; Rhinocerotidae
Source: RefSeq, a predicted model, not a curated record